RNAcentral lists this long non-coding RNA (233 nucleotides) under Glycine max (soybean). Its description in RNAcentral is "long non-coding RNA (GMAX_LNC000569)". The record is from RNAcentral. Lineage: Eukaryota; Viridiplantae; Streptophyta; Magnoliopsida; Fabales; Fabaceae.
AUGGUAAGCACGAUAACCUUUUUGAGUUGAUCCAUACCCAGCAAAAACACAUUUGAUAGCUCGUUCUUCAAGCUUUGUACGUUGAUGUGGUGUAAGUGAACAAAUAUAACACAUCCAAAAACAUGAGGUGGUAAAUAAACCAUGGAAGGAAGGAUACAAUGAUCAUCUAGAGGCCUUCUAAAGUUAAGCACACUAGAAGAGGUUCGAUUAAUAAAAUAAACUGUAUAUCUCAC